CAAAGAGAGGAAUAUAAAGCACAGUGAGGCUCCUCCCUCUUUCCCUAACAGCCCUUUGAGCUAGUCCAGACAAGAGGCACAAUGCAUUCAUUGAAAGAGAAGUAAGAUUGAGGGAAGAUAACAAAGAAGGACAUCUCAAUGCUUGGAAGAAUGAGCAGAGAAGAAUGGUGGAGGAAAAUAAGCAAAGAAAUGGAAGGAAUAAGGCAUCAGAAAACAUUAUACUUUUGCAUGCCUACUCAAAAGAGAAAAGUGGAGUGAAGAGAACAUAAAAAUACCUUCCCAUUCAGAGGACUGCAGAUUGGAGGAGUGAGGCUGCAAAGCAGUGGACAACCAGGAAAACAUAGUAACUCAGUUCUCUCAUUAAUUUCAUCUUUUCAAUAUAGGAAGCAAAGUGCAGAUGGUAUGAAUAUGCAGAUGGGUGAUUUUCUAAUCAAUACCGUGGCACUUGGGAGUCUGUUUUCAAGUUAAAGCUUUGGCCCACCGGCUGACUGAUGUAGAGGAAAGAAACAUGGCUGUUGUUGCAUAUGAAGAGCCAAAGAAAAAAGGAAGAAAUUUAUUUUUUGUUUCUCGGAUGAGGUGGGAGAAUGGGGGAGAACGCUCAGAAGAAUUUGAGGCAGCUGGCUUAACAUGGAGCUUCUCAUUCAUGGUGUUGAAUAGUGCGUAAUGAGGAAAAAAGAAGUGAUAGGAGGUGGAAAACCAAAUGUAGAAAUUGGAAUUGCCAUACUACUUCUACAAACCAGAAAGAUAAUAAUCAAAGAAUUAUCUGAGCCUAAGAAGGAUAUUCCAAACAACUGUGAAGAUCAAAGGCUUUCAGUGAAUGCCUUCUUUUGGAAAUUAAGAAGUGGAACAUCACCCCUACUACUCCACCAUUUUAAAGAAUUUCAAUUUAAAAGCAAAAGGUUUAACAAGACUGUGAUCUAAAAAAAAGAGAGCUUUAAAUAGACAAAGGGGACAUUGCUUUAUUUUUUUUUUUCCUGAUGAAAAUGCCUUUGAAUGUAAUCCAAUUAAAUACACUAACAUACUGGACAUUUGUGGGAAUGAUGAUUGUUGAUUUUAAGAUCAGUAAUAAUUCGUGGAUUUUACAAGUCAAGAAGAUAAGAACAAUAUGAACUGAAUUAUGACACUAAUUAUGGAGAACUAAUUGGGAGUAAAGUUUCAAAGAUCGAGUGAAGCAAAACAGGAAAACAAGGAGAACUCUCUCUUUUAUUUUCACCAUAAUAAUUGACAUAUUUUCACUUUCUCACCAUCACAAGGAAGCUGCCAAAUUGGGAGAAGGAUGCAGGGGUUGAGAAAUAGAUAAAGACUUUUCCCCAGAUUUAUUGCAGAACAUAUUUGAAGAAUUUGGCAAAAAGGUAUCUGGAACAGAUAAAAAGGAAAAGGAAGAAGGAUUUUCAGGGAUUUAAAAAGAAUCUAAAAAAGAAGAAGUUAAGAAAAUAGAAGAAUCUAUAAAGCAACUGAUUGCAGACUUAAAACAAAUUACUGACAAAAUAAACUUCUGAUUUUGAUGAUUAAUCAGGAUAGACUAUAGAAAGAAGAGUAAUGUGACAUAACUUUCAAAAGAGAGGUUAAAAUAUAUUUGUAUUUAUAAUUGCUUUGAAGAAUAUCAGGAGCCACUUCUUUCCAUAUUUUCUUUUCUACUAUUUUCUUUUUUCUUUU
Pantherophis guttatus is the source of this 1656-nucleotide long non-coding RNA. RefSeq lists it as uncharacterized. Lineage: Eukaryota; Metazoa; Chordata; Lepidosauria; Squamata; Colubridae. The record is from RefSeq and is a predicted model, not a curated record.